AGGAUUUGACUGCUGCAGACAUUGUAUCACAACUCUCAGCAAAGAUAAUAAAAACAUCUUGCAGCAGGUUCAAAAUAAAUAGAGAAAAUGUGUGGGAUGGAGCAGUCCGCGGCUUCAAACGUGCUUCAUUUGACCCAUUAAUGAGUUAUUAGUCAAAUUUACUGAUGAUGAGGGGCAAACUGAGGAUGCAUUGGACAUUGGUGGUCCCAAGUGAGAGUUCCUGACCCUCCUAAUGAACUGCCUGAGAACUUGAAGAAUCUUUGAUGGCCCAGAGGACAGGAAAUAUCUCAUAUUUGACAGUGCAGCUGCAAGAGAAUAGUACUUUCUUGCUGGGAGGAUGAUAGUUCAUGGUGGUCCAGGUCCUCGCCUCCUGUCUGAGAUUUUCUACCAGCACCUCACAGGAGGAACCAUCUCUGACAUUGAAGCCAAGACUGAAGAUGUUAGGAAUGACACCAUGAGAGCUCCCCUGCUUGAGAUAUCCAACGCAGCUACAUUGGAUGAACUGCAUGCGUCAGUUGAAAGACAUUCCAGCUUGUUGCUUUCAGUACCCUGAUGGUGUGGAUGAGAAAGAUAAGAUCAUAAAGGAUUUCAUGCAGUGGUACAUCAUUUACCGCAACCAUUUCUCGAUACAAAGAUUCAAAGAUGGGCUUUCCGCACUAGAUGUCAAUCAUGCUUUGGAGCAGCAUGGAUCUGUAUUUAGGGUCUUUGUGUGCUCAAGUGUGGAACAGCUGACAUCUACAACAUUGGAGGAACUCUUUGAGGUUCAGCUCAGUGAAAAAGGCAGCACAAGACAACAGGAAGAAACCCGAGUAAUAGGAUUCUGGAGAGACUAACUUCUGGAGACAGAAGAUAAACGAACAGGACUCUUCCUCCAUGAUGUCCUGAUGUUUGCCACAGGAUU
Etheostoma spectabile (orangethroat darter) is the source of this 901-nucleotide long non-coding RNA. RefSeq lists it as uncharacterized. Lineage: Eukaryota; Metazoa; Chordata; Actinopteri; Perciformes; Percidae. The transcript is spliced from 5 exons. The record is from RefSeq and is a predicted model, not a curated record.